ACGUAGGAGGCGAGCGUUAUCCGGAUUUACUGGGCGUAAAGCGCGUGCAGGCGGUUCAAUAAGUUGGAUGUGAAAGCUCCCGGCUCAACUGGGAGAGGACGUUGAAGACUGUUGGGCUAGAGGAUGAGAGAGGGAAGUGGAAUUCCGAGUGUAGGGGUGAAAUGCGUAGAUAUGCGGAGGAACACCAGUGGCGAAGGCGGCUUCCUGGCUCGGAACUGACGCUCAGGCACGAAAGCUAGGGUAGCAAACGG
RNAcentral lists this ribosomal RNA (251 nucleotides) under uncultured prokaryote. RNAcentral describes it as "partial 16S rRNA". It matches the Rfam family "Bacterial small subunit ribosomal RNA", at positions 525 to 775 of the family's 1533-position model. The record is from RNAcentral.